This 28-nucleotide non-coding RNA is filed under the name Cricetulus griseus (Chinese hamster). Lineage: Eukaryota; Metazoa; Chordata; Mammalia; Rodentia; Cricetidae. The record is from RNAcentral.
AUAACUGUGCAGUUGAAUUUAAUUUUGG